CUUCGAAUUUUGUGCCAGCUUCGAUCAUCCAGACUUUAUUUGGGAUGAUCUUAGUCUUGUUGGACUCCGUUUUUUAUCGCGAACCUCGCUGUGGGCUCAAUGUGGACCGAAUCUUAAAGCAUCAAAUCCUAAUAUAUUAUUAAUAGGUUAAAAUUUGAUUUCAAGUUUGAAUAUAAUUUGGUUGAUAUUCGAGUCGAAUCGAGUCGAGUCGAGUCGA
This 217-nucleotide long non-coding RNA is filed under the name Elaeis guineensis (African oil palm). Its description in RNAcentral is "long non-coding RNA (EGUI_LNC075702)". Lineage: Eukaryota; Viridiplantae; Streptophyta; Magnoliopsida; Arecales; Arecaceae. The record is from RNAcentral.